CCUACGGGAGGCAGCAGUAGGGAAUAUUGCUCAAUGGGGGAAACCCUGAAGCAGCAACGCCGCGUGGAGGAUGAAGGUUUUCGGAUUGUAAACUCCUUUUGUUAGAGAAGAUAAUGACGGUAUCUAACGAAUAAGCACCGGCUAACUCCGUGCCAGCAGCCGCGGUAAUACGGAGGGUGCAAGCGUUACUCGGAAUCACUGGGCGUAAAGCGAGCGUAGGCGGGAUAGCAAGUCAGAUGUGAAAUCCUCGGGCUUAACCAUAGAACUGCAUUGGAAACUGUUAGUCUAGAGUAGGGGAGAGGUAGGUGGAAGUCGUGGUGUAGGGGUAAAAUCCGUAGAGAUCAAGAGGAAUACUCAUUGCGAAGGCGACCUGCUAGAACAUAACUGACGCUGAGGCGCGAAAGCGUGGGGAGCAAACAGGAUUAGAUACCCCAGUAGUC
Molecule: ribosomal RNA, 440 nt
Filed under: uncultured bacterium
Lineage: Bacteria
Description: partial 16S ribosomal RNA
Rfam family: Bacterial small subunit ribosomal RNA
Source: RNAcentral